CCCAUUCGGUGAUAAAGCUGAACCUCAAGGAUAGCUUUACUCAAACAGAAACCAUGUUAGCCUUUUCGAUCGCAUUUUGAACCUACAAAAUAAUCUCGAUUCACAGGAUCAUCAGUCAUCUUAGUAGCAAUAAUAGCACUACCAGCCAAAAUAAAUAAGUGUUGCAACGCGUACCAUAUUGGUGUCAUUUAACUAAUAAACAUGUAAGAAAGUAAGAAGAUAAAUGAUAAUACUCAUAAGUUAGAUAAACAUUCCAGCAUCGCGUGAGUCAGUGAUUAUUUACACAUUCAUGUUCAUGUAAUCAUGAAUGCGUUCAUGUGGGAUGUAAUGGUCGUUCGUUCAUUUUAAAUCAGUUUCUAUCUGGGCAAAUUCUAGAAUUUACAUUGCCACCAGAGAAUGCAAUUAGAUGCAAAAAGUCAAAAAAAAAGAAACUAGCUACGUUUACUUCAUCUACAAAAAAUAUAGAGAAAAAAUAUGAGUAGACUUCUAAACGAACUCACAAAAAUCAUUUCUUCAUUCUCAUCAUUGUCAUCCUCUGCUUCAUCCAGACCACCCUCGGAUGUAAGCACAUUCUUAUUGAUCUCCAUCUCUUCCUCCGCAGCGAGGGAUGCGGCCAAUCUUGAUGCGACAGAACAAUGUAUUAGACAUUAGUAACAUAGCAAAAGGAUUGUUUUGGGUCGUGACGGAGAAAGAAGAAGAGCGAAAACUACGGACAUGACAUUGCUCACAGCUCAUCUAGGUUUUCCUGGGAAGAAACCCCUGAUUCCAUAUCACCACGAGGUAGAACGCUGCUUCCUUCAGCCCUAAUUUCAACAAUCGAAUCCAACACCUUUUUCCCCUUUGUGUCCUCGUCCGUAAUCUGCAUCUCCUUCGAUCCUUCCUUGUGCUUCUUGAUCUCGGUUGCCAAUUCUUCGAGCCUCUUCGCCUUGAGCUAUAUAAGUCAAUGCAUACAAUCAGACAACUGAAAAGAGGACGGAGGG
This 980-nucleotide long non-coding RNA is filed under the name Musa acuminata (dwarf banana). Its description in RNAcentral is "long non-coding RNA (MACU_LNC005774)". The record is from RNAcentral. Lineage: Eukaryota; Viridiplantae; Streptophyta; Magnoliopsida; Zingiberales; Musaceae.